Myiozetetes cayanensis is the source of this 258-nucleotide long non-coding RNA. RefSeq lists it as uncharacterized. The transcript is spliced from 3 exons. Lineage: Eukaryota; Metazoa; Chordata; Aves; Passeriformes; Tyrannidae. The record is from RefSeq and is a predicted model, not a curated record.
AUCAAUUUCAAUCAAAUGUGACAGAAGGAGAGAGCUGUGAGACAUGAAGUUUAGGAAGAAAACAGAUUGUCGAUAAAUGCAGUAAACAACAGGCUGCUUUCUUUCAGAAGAAGUUAUAUGAAGUUGUCAUGCAUUUGAUGACCUGCAGUAGUGGAAGGCUGAACUGUUGUUUGGUAUUUUGACCUUCAUGGCAGAGUAAGGAGGAGUGAGAGCUCCUUGUACCUCCUCCAAGCCUACAGCCUGGCUCUGCACAUAGGA